This 888-nucleotide ribosomal RNA is filed under the name uncultured Planctomycetota bacterium. Its description in RNAcentral is "bacterial SSU rRNA". It matches the Rfam family "Bacterial small subunit ribosomal RNA", at positions 37 to 916 of the family's 1533-position model. The record is from RNAcentral. Lineage: Bacteria; Pseudomonadati; Planctomycetota.
CAUCCCCGCGUCCUAGGCAUGCAAGUCGACGGAGUGUGUGGAAGGCAACGGAAGCACACUUAGUGGCGAACGGGUGAGGAAUAGCUAGGUAACGUACCCUGGACUCAGGGAUAGCGGCGUCCCGAGCAAUCGGGGCUUUGCGAAAGUGCCGGUAAUACCUGAUGAUAUCCUGGAUGCUCAUGUAUCCGGGAUCAAGGGUCCGCCGGUCUGGGAGCGGCCUAGCUCCUAUCAGCUAGUUGGUGAGGUAACGGCUCACCAAGGCAACGACAGGUACCAGGCGUGAGAGCGCGAUCUGGCACAUCGGGACUGAGACACUGCCCGGACAUCUACGGAUGGCUGCAGCAACGAAUCUUCCGCAAUGGGCGAAAGCCUGACGGAGCGACGCCGCGUGCAGGACGAAGCACUUCGGUGUGUAAACUGCUGUCAGGGGCUAGGAAGUAAGUGACUAACCCCAAAGGAAGCCCCGGCUAACCCCGUGCCAGCAGCCGCGGUAAUACGGGGGGGGCAAGCGUUGUUCGGAAUCACUGGGCUUAAAGGGUGCGUAGGCGGGCCAGUUGGUGCCAUGUGAAAGCCCUCAGCUUAACUGAGGAACGGCAUGGCAUACCGCUGGUCUUGAGGUCGGCAGAGGAACCUGGAACUUUGGGUGGAGCGGUGAAAUGCGUAGAUAUCCAAGGGAACGCCGGUGGCGAAAGCGGGGUUCUGGGCCGAUUCUGACGCUGAGGCACGAAAGCGUGGGGAGCAAACAGGAUUAGAUACCCUGGUAGUCCACGCUGUAAACGAUGCGCACUAGGUAUCAGCACCUCUGACGGAGUUGGUGCCGUAGUAAAAACGAUAAGUGCGCCGCCUGGGGAGUACGGCCGCAAGGCUAAAACUCAAAGGAAUUGACGG